AGUGAACGCUGGCGGCAGGCUUAACACAUGCAAGUCGAGCGGCAGCGCGUCCGACCACCCUCGGGUGGUCGGAUGGCGGCGAGCGGCGGACGGGUGAGGAGUGCAUCGGAAUCUGCCUCGUUGUGGGGGAUAACGUAGGGAAACUUACGCUAAUACCGCAUACGACCUACGGGUGAAAGUGGGGGACCUUCGGGCCUCACGCGAUGAGAUGAGCCGAUGCCGGAUUAGCUAGUUGGCGGGGUAAAGGCCCACCAAGGCGACGAUCCGUAGCUGGUCUGAGAGGAUGAUCAGCCACACUGGAACUGAGACACGGUCCAGACUCCUACGGGAGGCAGCAGUGGGGAAUAUUGGACAAUGGGGGGCAACCCUGAUCCAGCCAUGCCGCGUGUGUGAAGAAGGCCUC
Molecule: ribosomal RNA, 403 nt
Filed under: uncultured bacterium
Lineage: Bacteria
Description: bacterial SSU rRNA
Rfam family: Bacterial small subunit ribosomal RNA
Source: RNAcentral